GCCAGCGUGGCAGUGGUUUGAGUGCUGGACUACAACUCUGGAGACCAGGGUUCGAUUCCUGGCUUCCCUGGGUGGCC
Molecule: non-coding RNA, 77 nt
Organism: Phrynosoma platyrhinos (Desert horned lizard)
Lineage: Eukaryota; Metazoa; Chordata; Lepidosauria; Squamata; Phrynosomatidae
Source: the annotation of a GenBank genome assembly